AUAAAAAUUAUAUUAUAGUUUUAAAAUUAAUUUUAUUAAUAAAUUAUAUAUAAAAUUUAAUUAAUAUUAAAUAUAAAAAAUAUAUUUAAUAAUGAAUUCUGAAACAAUAAAUGAAAGUUUAAUUCGGUAAUUAAUAUAAAAUAAAGAUAAAUAUAAGUGCCAGCAAUAGCGGUUAAACUUAAUUUAUAAAUUAAUUAUUACUAAUAAUAUUGAUAUAAAAUUAAUUUAUAUUAUAAUUAAAUUUUUUAAUUUUAGGUGAAAUUUUUAAUUAAAUAAUAAUAAUUAUAAAUUUAUAAUAUUUAAAUAAAAAAAUUUAAAAAAAAACUAGGAUUAGAUACCCUAUUAUAAAAAUUAAUAAAAAUAUUAAAUAAUUAAAUGUUGAAUCAUUAAAAUUAAAUAAUAUGGCGGCUUUUUAUAUCUAAUUAGAGAGACUUGUAUAUUAAUUUGAUAUUCCACGAUAAGAGAUACUUAAGUUUAAUUUAUGUAUUGUUGUUUUUAUAGUUUAAAUAAAUUUAUGAUUAAAAAUAUUUAUUAUAAUAGAAAUUCAAAUCAAAAUAUAGUAUAUUUAAGGUUUUUAUGAGUUUUAAUAAAUUAAAUUUUUGGAUAAUUUAUUUUAAUAUAAAUUUGAAAGAGAAUUUAAAAGUAAAUUAUAGUAAUUUCUUUAAUUGAAGAUAGUUCUAGAAAGUGUACAAAUCGCCCGUCAAUUUCAUUAUUAAGUUGAAAUAAGUCGUAACAUAGUAAAAGUACUGGAAAGUGUUUUUAGAUUU
Molecule: non-coding RNA, 767 nt
Filed under: Apis laboriosa (Himalayan honeybee)
Lineage: Eukaryota; Metazoa; Arthropoda; Insecta; Hymenoptera; Apidae
Source: RNAcentral